UACGGAGGAUGCGAGCGUUAUCCGGAUUUAUUGGGUUUAAAGGGUGCGCAGGCGGGAGUUUUAAGUUCAGCGGUGGAAAUUUUACUAGGCUCAACCUGAACACUGCCGUUGAAACUGGGAUUCUUGAGUAUGGAUGAAGUAGGCGGAAUUCGUUGUGUAGCGGUGACAUGCUUAGAUAUAACGAGGAACUCCGAUUGCGUAGGCAGCUUACUAAGCCAUAACUGACGCUCAAGCACGAAAGCGUGGGGAUCAAACAGGAUUAGAUACCCGGGUAGU
RNAcentral lists this ribosomal RNA (276 nucleotides) under uncultured bacterium. RNAcentral describes it as "partial 16S ribosomal RNA". It matches the Rfam family "Bacterial small subunit ribosomal RNA", at positions 524 to 794 of the family's 1533-position model. The record is from RNAcentral.